AGACAAGAAGACAAGAAAAUGAUUUGAGGACAGCUUCAAUCGCGGUGUGAAGAAGAAAGCAACAAAACGACCACUGAAAACAAUGCCGGUGGCAAAACAUCCAAAGAAAGGGUCCCAAGUGGUACAUCGUCAUAGCUGGAAACAGUCAGAGCCACCAGCCAAUGAUCUUUUCAAUGCUGCGAAAGCUGCCAAAAGUGACAUGCAGUGUGGCCAUGAGGUCUGCCGGAAGUGACUUGUUGGUGUUAUCUCCUGAGUUAAAAUGUGAAGGGAUUUUUUUUUUUCAGAUUACUGAGAGUCUUCAGUUACUAGUUUGUCUUUCCUAGAUCCAGACACGGGGACUGCAGAGAAAGGCUGUGUGCAUCCGCUGUCUACUCCACUGUCUCCUCUGCAGAGGCGGAUUUCCCUGACUGAAGACCAUGUUGCAGGCCCACAGCUGCCUACAGAACCGUCCCAAAAUAUGGCAAAGAAACCUAUUCUGAGGUUAAAUAUUUUGGUUUCUUUCAGUGGGAGGCAAGGGUCUUCCGGACUAGGGAGGUAGAUGUGCAGCAGCCUCAGGUGCUCUAGGUGCUUUGUAGCUACGCUGGCCAGGCCACCUGAGGUAGGUCCCCUUUGCACCAGUCUCACACCCUGCUGGGGGAUGGUAGUGGAGACAGCAGUAAAAGCAGGUCUGAGGCAGGUGUGGAGAUUAGUACAGGUGGCCUGGGCGAAGGGCAAAGGGUGAAGAGAAUGUUGGGAGCCAUGGGUGACUGGC
Molecule: long non-coding RNA, 751 nt
Filed under: Homo sapiens (human)
Lineage: Eukaryota; Metazoa; Chordata; Mammalia; Primates; Hominidae
Description: STAG3L5P-PVRIG2P-PILRB readthrough
Source: RNAcentral